AGGGUUCGAUUAUGGCUCAGGAUGAACGCUGGCGGCGUGCUUAACACAUGCAAGUCGAACGAAGCAUUUAAGACAGAUUACUUCGGUUUGAAGUCUUUUAUGACUGAGUGGCGGACGGGUGAGUAACGCGUGGGUAACCUGCCUCAUACAGGGGGAUAGCAGCUGGAAACGGCUGGUAAUACCGCAUAAGCGCACAGUACCACAUGGUACAGUGUGAAAAACUCCGGUGGUAUGAGAUGGACCCGCGUCUGAUUAGCUAGUUGGCGGGGUAACGGCCCACCAAGGCGACGAUCAGUAGCCGACCUGAGAGGGUGACCGGCCACAUUGGGACUGAGACACGGCCCAG
RNAcentral lists this ribosomal RNA (346 nucleotides) under uncultured bacterium. RNAcentral describes it as "bacterial SSU rRNA". It matches the Rfam family "Bacterial small subunit ribosomal RNA", at positions 8 to 334 of the family's 1533-position model. The record is from RNAcentral.